RNAcentral lists this ribosomal RNA (253 nucleotides) under uncultured bacterium. RNAcentral's name for it is "partial 16S ribosomal RNA". It matches the Rfam family "Bacterial small subunit ribosomal RNA", at positions 524 to 776 of the family's 1533-position model. The record is from RNAcentral.
UACGUAGGGACCAAGCGUUGUCCGGAAUCAUUGGGCGUAAAGCGCGCGUAGGUGGCCAUUUAAGUCCGCUGUGAAAGUCAGAGGCUCAACCUUUGAAAGCCGGUGGAUACUGGAUGGCUAGAGUACGGAAGAGGCGAGUGGAAUUCCUGGUGUAGCGGUGGAAUGCGCAGAUAUCAGGAGGAACACCAAUAGCGAAGGCAGCUCGCUGGGACGUUACUGACACUAAGGCGCGACAGCGUGGGGAGCAAACAGG